This 246-nucleotide ribosomal RNA is filed under the name uncultured bacterium. RNAcentral describes it as "partial 16S ribosomal RNA". It matches the Rfam family "Bacterial small subunit ribosomal RNA", at positions 524 to 764 of the family's 1533-position model. The record is from RNAcentral.
UACGUAGGGUGCAAGCGUUAAUCGGAAUACUGGGCGUAAAGCGUGCGCAGGCGGUGAUGUAAGACAGAUGUGAAAUCCCCGGGCUCAACCUGGGAACUGGCAUUUGUGACUGCAUCGCUGGAGUGCGGCAGAGGGGGAUGGAAUUCCGGCGUGUAGCAGUGAAAUGCGUAGAUAUGCGGAGGAACACCGAUGGCGGAAGGCAAUCCCCUGGGCCUGCACUGGACGCUCCAGUGCACGAAAGCGUUG